Molecule: transfer RNA, 75 nt
Filed under: Nitrososphaera sp.
Lineage: Archaea; Thermoproteati; Nitrososphaerota; Nitrososphaeria; Nitrososphaerales; Nitrososphaeraceae
Also listed under: 2 other names
Description: tRNA-Ile
Rfam family: tRNA
About the family: Transfer RNA (tRNA) molecules are approximately 80 nucleotides in length. Their secondary structure includes four short double-helical elements and three loops (D, anti-codon, and T loops).
Source: RNAcentral
GGGCCGAUAGCUCAGCUUGGCUGGAGCGUUCGACUGAUAAUCGAAAGGUCGUGGGUUCAAAUCCCAUUCGGCCCA